RNAcentral lists this non-coding RNA (27 nucleotides) under Mus musculus (house mouse). The record is from RNAcentral. Lineage: Eukaryota; Metazoa; Chordata; Mammalia; Rodentia; Muridae.
UGGGAACCUCGUGUUCUUCUCGGUGGU